RNAcentral lists this ribosomal RNA (453 nucleotides) under Serratia marcescens. Its description in RNAcentral is "bacterial SSU rRNA". It matches the Rfam family "Bacterial small subunit ribosomal RNA", at positions 563 to 1013 of the family's 1533-position model. Lineage: Bacteria; Pseudomonadati; Pseudomonadota; Gammaproteobacteria; Enterobacterales; Yersiniaceae. The record is from RNAcentral.
AAGCGCACGCAGGCGGGUUUGUUAAGUCAGAUGUGGAAAUCCCCGGGCUCAACCUGGGAACUGCAUUUGAAACUGGCAAGCUAGAGUCUCGUAGAGGGGGGUAGAAUUCCAGGUGUAGCGGUGAAAUGCGUAGAGAUCUGGAGGAAUACCGGUGGCGAAGGCGGCCCCCUGGACGAAGACUGACGCUCAGGUGCGAAAGCGUGGGGAGCAAACAGGAUUAGAUACCCUGGUAGUCCACGCUGUAAACGAUGUCGAUUUGGAGGUUGUGCCCUUGAGGCGUGGCUUCCGGAGCUAACGCGUUAAAUCGACCGCCUGGGGAGUACGGCCGCAAGGUUAAAACUCAAAUGAAUUGACGGGGGCCCGCACAAGCGGUGGAGCAUGUGGUUUAAUUCGAUGCAACGCGAAAAACCUUACCUACUCUUGACAUCGAGAGAACUUUCCAGAGAUGGAUUG